Fukomys damarensis (Damara mole-rat) is the source of this 126-nucleotide small nuclear RNA. The record is from Ensembl. NCBI's taxonomy places the organism in Eukaryota, Metazoa, Chordata, Mammalia, Rodentia, Bathyergidae.
GUGUUGUAUAAAAGGAGAGAAGGUUAGCACUCCCCUUGACAAGGACAGAAGAGGCCCUUGGGCCUGAAACCAUGCAUGAAGUUAAGGCAUUGCCACCUACUUCAUGGCAUCUAACCACUGUUUUAA